GAUGAACGCUGGCGGCGUGCCUAAUACAUGCAAGUCGAGCGAACAGACGAGGAGCUUGCUCCUCUGACGUUAGCGGCGGACGGGUGAGAAACACGUGGAUAACCUACCUAUAAGACUGGGAUAACUUCGGGAAACCGGAGCUAAUACCGGAUAAUAUAUUGAACCGCAUGGUUCAAUAGUGAAAGACGGUUUUGCUGUCACUUAUAGAUGGAUCCGCGCCGCAUUAGCUAGUUGGUAAGGUAACGGCUUACCAAGGCAACGAUGCGUAGCCGACCUGAGAGGGUGAUCGGCCACACUGGAACUGAGACACGGUCCAGACGCCUACGGGAGGCAGCAGUAGGGAAUCUUCCGCAAUGGGCGAAAGCCUGACGGAGCAACGCCGCGUGAGUGAUGAAGGUCUUCGGAUCGUAAAACUCUGUUAUUAGGGAAGAACAAAUGUGUAAGUAACGAUGCACGUCUUGACGGUACCUAAUCAGAAAGCCGCGGCUAACUACGU
This 496-nucleotide ribosomal RNA is filed under the name uncultured bacterium. Its description in RNAcentral is "partial 16S ribosomal RNA". It matches the Rfam family "Bacterial small subunit ribosomal RNA", at positions 28 to 506 of the family's 1533-position model. The record is from RNAcentral.